RNA transcript from Ziziphus jujuba (common jujube), 824 nucleotides. RefSeq lists it as uncharacterized. The transcript has 2 exons. The record is from RefSeq and is a predicted model, not a curated record. Lineage: Eukaryota; Viridiplantae; Streptophyta; Magnoliopsida; Rosales; Rhamnaceae.
UAUAAUAGAGAAAAAGAUCAUAUACUAAUGUUCUAUCUUUUUAAGCAUUUUGGUUUAUAGGUAUAAACAAUUAGGCAGUCUUGAGGGAACAACAUAGUGCAGUGUCUAUACUCUUUCAUAUGAAAGGCUUGAUGACAUGUGGUUUUUCUUUGCCUUCGACAUGUGAUUUGUGUUUUGGUGAUUUAAAAUCAUCUCGGCAUCUGUUUUUGUCUUGUCUGUAUGCUCAUUGCAUUUGGGACUAUAUUAGCCUUUGGUUUCCAGUGGUUCUUGAUACUUCGGUGGCUAUGGUGGAUUUCUUCUUGCAUUGCAUGAAUAUGUCUCUUAGUCCUCAAUUGACAAAUUUAUUCCAAGCUGCGGUGUUCCCUGCUAUUUCUUCCAUUUGGCAUGCUCAGAAUCAAAUGGCUUAUUUUCGAUUAUGUAUGGUGCAAUAUCCCAGUUUACGAGAAGCGACUCUCAAAGCCUUUGAGGCCAAAGGUGAUUAAUAUUGAUGAUGAUUUCAAGGCUGAUUUCCAAAAUUUCAAGGAUGAUUUGGAUGUUGACGAUGAUGACGAUGUGCUUGAUGUCAAGCCUUUCACUUUCUCUACUUGAGAGCUACCUUCUCAUGUGCUAAAGCCAUCUCUCACCGACCUACUUUAAAAAUUUUUGCACAUCUGUUGCUAUUUGGUUUUUAGAUUUUUGCAAGGUUUUUAUGACAAUCUUUCUUCAUUUCUUUAUUGUAGUUCAUGGCUUUAGCGAUUUGAUCUGUUAGGUAAUUUUGUUUGAUUCUACAAGCUAUUCUCCAAAAUUUCUUGUAAUAAAAAUUGGCUUUCCUUUAUUUUGAGAAA